RNAcentral lists this ribosomal RNA (476 nucleotides) under uncultured eukaryote. Its description in RNAcentral is "bacterial SSU rRNA". It matches the Rfam family "Eukaryotic small subunit ribosomal RNA", at positions 21 to 496 of the family's 1831-position model. The record is from RNAcentral.
UAGUCAUAUGCUUGUCUCAAAGAUUAAGCCAUGCAUGUCUCAGCUCAUGUCUAUGUAUGGUGAAGCCGCGAAUGGCUCAUUAUAACAGCCAUAGUUUAUUGGAUGUUGUCUAUCUAAUUGGAUAAAUGGAGGAAUUUUCGAACUUAGGGGCGGGCCAAAGACUAAAGCUUUCUCAACGGGCGACUAUAUUAAAUCUUAGACCAUCGGCCUUCGGCCUGUCUUUGGUGACUCUGAAUGAAUAUGAUGAGCGCACGGGCCUCGCACCGGCUUCCUAUCUUUACAGUGCCUGCCUGAUCCUGUGCCAAUGGCUGUUUAUGUGACUACCUUGGAUGACACUGGUAGUGGAGAAUAAGGGAUCGACUCCGGAGGGGGAGCCUGAGAAAUGCUUACCACCUCCUAGGACGGCCGCAGGAGCGCAAAUUACCCACUCUCACACCGACUAGGUACGGACAAGAAAUGACGAGACGGAUCUCUAU